Molecule: long non-coding RNA, 2347 nt
Filed under: Homo sapiens (human)
Lineage: Eukaryota; Metazoa; Chordata; Mammalia; Primates; Hominidae
Description: HSALNT0064731
Source: RNAcentral
GUGAGCGCACACUUGGACAAGGGAGGGGAAGGGGUCCUCAUCCCUGACACACGUGGCCCCUGCUGCUGUGUUGUUCCCCUAUUGGGUGGGGUUAGACUGCACAGGAUAAACUAAUUCCAAUUGGCUAAUUUAAAGAGAAUGACAGGGUGGGUGCUUUGGCUGGAGUCGGAGCAGAGCAGGUAGCAGGUAAUCAGAAUGAGUCAGGGUGGAGAAUGAGCAGGUGAUCGGACUGAGUCAGGGUGUAGUAGGUAAUCGAAAAAGGUUGCUUUAUGAGGAAGUUAAGUUUAAAAGUAGAAGGCAAAGAAUUGAACAUACUGAUAUUAAUUCUUUGAAAAGAAAUUUAGAACUCAUAUCUAACAACAUGAAGUAGAAAAGGUGAGAUUCAAACCAAGUUUAUCUUGUCUUAAUGCUUGUGUUUGUCUCAGAUGCUGCAUCCUUUUCACAUCACACUACCUCUUGACACUAUAAAACAUUCUAGAAAUAUUGGACAUUAUUAUUUAAAUCCAAUUUGUACAAUAAGAUUAUUCUAUUAUAUUUUAAUUAAUUGAAAAAAUGUAUAAAUGGUAGAGAGGUCACUGUUUAACAGACCAUGAGAUUGUACCAUGCUGAUUUUGAAAGUGUAAAUGAAUAGUACGAUUAUUGAUUGUAUUAACUGAUUACUACUGCUGCACAGGCUACUGGGGCUUGUACACUUAGAAAGCCAUACUGACCCCAAUCAUCCCUUCCAACUUGGUUUUACCAUCCCUUUCCUCAUUGCCAGGGGAGAGCAAAGAAAAUAUAGGACGUGUCAACAUUUAUAGUCAUUUGUAUAGGAGAUCUGUGAAAAUGUCCUUUUUGAAAUAGAAGUCAUCGUUUGGAUAAGAUCAAAUUCAGACAAAUUGAAUUUUUAUUUGCUUUGACAUGGAUUGGAAUCAGUGAUGUGAUUUUUUUUCCCCCUCCUGUGCAGGCAGGGGAAAGAAAACCAUCUUGAUAAAUUUCCUUAACUUUCUUGAAGGUGCUCUUUGGAAAAAGCAACAGAGUGUUAUGACACAGAGCUCUGACUCUGAGGUUGAAAAUCUUAUACUUGGAAUCUAAUGCUACUAAUGGAUUUUGAUGAAGGAAAACAUUUAAUUACCACAUUGAAUAAUUUGUUCAUUCGUUUGACAAUUGCUCAUUAAGUGCCUACUACAUAAGAGACCCUAUUCUACGUGCUAUGAAUACUUCAGAAAGUAAAUAAAAAUUCCUGCUUUCAUAGAGUUUACAACUGAGGAGAAGGGAGAUAGACAAUAAAAUCUUAGCAUGUAAUGUCCUGGGGAUAAUAUGGUAUGCUAUGGAGAAAAAGAAAGCAUUGUCUGGGAAUAAGAAGUGUACAAAGGGGUGUGAUUUGAAAGGUGUUUUCAGGGAAGUUUUCUGACAUUCAGCAGAAACCUGAAAAAAAGUAAAGAACUGAGUCAAGUGACUAUGCAGGGGAAGAAUUCUUUAGGCAGCAGGCCAGCGUGGUGGCAGUGGAAUGGAAAAGAAUGGUAGCAGAAGGGUACAGGGAGGAACCAGAUUAUUCCAGGGCACAUGGGCCACUGUAAGGCCUUGGCUUCUGUCUGCAGUCAUACAGAAAGACAUUGGAGGCUUUUGAGCAGAAGGUAGGACUUAACGUCAAUAUUGAAAUGACCACCAGUGUUGGGUAGAGAAUAGAACGUGUGGGUGGGAGAAGGGAGGCAGAAGUAAGAGACCAACUGUGAAAAAUGUGUAAUAAUGUGAGAGUUGGUAGUGACUUGCCCAGAGUGGUAGCAGUGGAAAUGACAAGAAAUAAUUAAAGCUAGGCACAGUUUGAAGGUAGAGGCCUUAGGAUUUCCUGUGAUGUGCAAAAGAAAGAGAGGAUCACAGAGGACUCCAAGGUUUUUCUUCUGAGCAAGUGCAACAGUGAAGUUCCCAUUUACACAGAUGGAGAAAAAUAUAGAAGGAGGACAUUUUGUGGAAUUCCGAACUUUGAUUUUGAACAUAUCCUGUGUGAGAUGCCUGUAGACAUUUAAGUGGAAAUGUUAUGUAGGUAGUUGGAUAUGUAAGUAUGGAGGUUAGAGGAAAAGUCAAGGUUAGGGAUUAGAAUUUGAGAGCUCUGUAUACGGGAAGUUUCUGAGGGCUUGACACUUGAUUGAACUCAUUUAGGGCUUAAGUAUAGAUAAAGAAGAAAUUUAUAGUUGAUCCAUGGAACACUCCAAUAUUUAAAGGUUUAGGAAAUAAUAAGGAACCAGCAGGAGAUUGAAAAAGUCUCUGUUUAUAAAAUAAGGAGAAAUCACACACACACGCACACAUGCACACUCAACACACACACACGCACACACACACUCUCUCUCUCUCUUUCCCCUUUUUUCAG